Molecule: long non-coding RNA, 2043 nt
Organism: Cynoglossus semilaevis (tongue sole)
Lineage: Eukaryota; Metazoa; Chordata; Actinopteri; Pleuronectiformes; Cynoglossidae
Exons: 13
Source: RefSeq, a predicted model, not a curated record
UCCUAUCACUCUGCAAAACGGACUGCUUCACAUUUAUAAUUUGUUCUCUCAAAUCUUUUUUUUUUUGUCUUUCUGAUAUGCUGCCAAAAAUGAGUUUUUAAAUCUAUUAUGAGGAGAUAAAGGAAGUGGACUAAUGUAUGACCAUCAGAGACCACUGCCUUGCCUUUUGGGUUUGUGGGAACUUCUACACAACACCUCAGCUACACAGUAGGCAGCAGAGCUGGACACCAACACACAUACUACAGUAGAGAAGGAGAAGACAGACGCACCACACACGCUUCCUGCCCUGUACCAGUGAUGGCUCCGCUGUGUCUGCUGGUUAUCUGCCCCCUGUAUCAGAGCCAUAUGUACCAUUUUGAAGUCGAACCUCUCCCCUGGUCACUGGUUUGUCUACUGUCUCUGACCUGAAGACACAUUUAAGCUUUCUCUAACAUCUGAGACGAGGGAUGAUUGAUGCCAGAGGAGAAAAAAGGCCUUGAGGGUGGAGUACUUCAAACAAGACACAGAGAAGAACAAUCUCAGACCCCUAACCUCCCGGGCCUCCUCCCACCCGCUCCCUCCUGCGGGUCUGUACCACUGAAAGGCUCCUCACUGGAGUCCACUUCUGCCCUGGCUGCCAGCUGGAGUGGCCCUAACCUCCGACCUUUGACCCCCAGCCAGCAGCAUCACAGAACUCAGUCCCGGAUGGAGAAGAGCUUGAUGGUCUCUGCGGGGGGCACACAUCCUGUGAGACACUGUGAUUUCCACCCUAUUUCCUUGAAUUCUAAAUCACUUUGAAUCCCACACCUUUUCUACAGAAUUAAGCACAGCCUCUGAGCUCACUCUUACCCCUGGCUCGCUGCGGCUCCAGAGGGAGUGUCUGGUUCCCGCUGCCCUCCUGGUUCCUCCCACACUGCAACAAUAUGGCAACAUUAUCUCUGUGUUCACCUGUUAGCACCUGGCGCUGCAGCUGAGCCGUGCCAACAUAUAAAAGAUGAAUGAAAACACUUAAGCAAUCAACGACCCAUCAGGUCAGAAAUGUUCUUAGAAAAAUGGCCCGUGGUCCACGGCAGGUCACUGACCUUUUUCAAUGUUAGGCCAAAACAGGAUACACCUCACUCUACCCGGAACAGUUCCCAUUCAGCCUGAAUCAGAUAAGGAGGAACAAUUCUGAAACCCAUCCUACUGAAGGGCCUCACACGGUCCAUGGAGACCUGUUUUCCGUCGCUAAAGAUCCAGUGGCCAACGUGUGGUCCUCUGUACCUACAACAGCCACGGGAGCUGUGCGGUGCAUCGAGUCAACUGUGACUGCAUCCUUUUAUCUUAUUACUGUCACCCACGAGACCGAACACACGGUUUCGAUUUCAGCGGCAACAUCAUCAUGUUUUCCACAGACAAGCAGAUGGGCUUGCAGUGUUUCAUGAAACUGUUCGACCUGAGGGAUCCACAGAUCGUCCUGAAGAAAGCUAAGGAGCACAAAGGCACAUUAACGACAUCCAGACCUCACCAUGUUCAUCAGUGCCUCAAAGGACAACACAGCCAAGAUGUAAUGGAGAAGACUUGUGAACACAGCAGCUUGGACUCUGCCAGGUAGAGUGAAGGAGCAACUUUAUUUGAAGCAGCUCACUUGUUGUUUGCUGGACUUGUGAGUAUUUUACUGAAACUUUUUGGCAACAGGGUCACUUUAUGGCCUUUGCACUUUCAUUGUUAGAUACUCAGUCACUUUUCAGAGAAAAAAAAACAAACACUUUUUUUUACUUAGUAUUUAUUUUUCGGCCUUUGCACUUUCAUUGACAGACGCUUUUUUGCACUUUUUUGCAAAUAAUCCAGAAUGAGCUUCUAUAGGUAAACAAAAAACUUCAUUGUGUCUGUAUUUGACUUAAGACUGUUUUAAACCUUCCAGAAUAAGCAGAUCUGAAGAAGCCUCUUCAGGUAAAGAGAAAAAAAACUUUGACUUAGUUUUUCUUUAUGUAAAACUUAAUUGUGCCUUAAUGCUAUUGUCACUUUAAUUGUGAGCUGUAUUUGACUGUUGUAAACCUUCCAGUAUAAAGAAAGUUGUUGGAA